CCUACGGGGGGCUGCAGUGGGGAAUUUUGGACAAUGGGCGCAAGCCUGAUCCAGCCAUUCCGCGUGAGUGAAGAAGGCCUUCGGGUUGUAAAGCUCUUUCGCAAGGGAAGAAAACUUAUCCUCUAACAUAGGAUGCGGUUGACGGUACCUUGAUAAGAAGCACCGGCUAACUACGUGCCAGCAGCCGCGGUAAUACGUAGGGUGCGAGCGUGAGUCGGAAUUGCGGGGGCUGUAGUGUGAGUCGGCUGUUAAAUCCCCGGGCUCAACUUGGGAACUGCGUUUGAAACUACAAGACUAGAAUAGGUCAGAGGGGGGUAGAAUUCCACGUGUAGCAGUGAAAUGCGUAGAGAUGUGGAGGAAUAUCAAUGGCGAAGGCAGCCCCCUGGGAUCAUAUUGACGCUCAUGCACGAAAGCGUGGGGAGCAAACAGGAUUAGAUACCCCUGUAGUC
Molecule: ribosomal RNA, 449 nt
Filed under: uncultured bacterium
Lineage: Bacteria
Description: partial 16S ribosomal RNA
Rfam family: Bacterial small subunit ribosomal RNA
Source: RNAcentral